AAUAUUGGACAAUGGGGGCAACCCUGAUCCAGCGAUGCCGCGUGAGUGAAGAAGGCUUUCGGGUUGUAAAGCUCUUUCGCGGGGGAAGAAACAACGGGGACUAAUACGCCCCGUGAAUGACGGUACCCCGACAAGAAGCACCGGCUAACUUCGUGCCAGCAGCCGCGGUAAUACGGGGGGUGCAAGCGUUAAUCGGAAUUACUGGGCGUAAAGCGUGCGUAGGCGGCCGUUCAAGUCAGAUGUGAAAGCCCCGGGCUCAACCCGGGAACUGCGUUUGAAACUGGACGGCUCGAGUUCGGCAGAGGAAGGUGGAAUUCCGCGUGUAGCGGUGAAAUGCGUAGAGAUGCGGAAGAACACUAAUGGCGAAGGCAUCCUUCUGGGCCGACACUGACGCUGAGUCACGAAAGCGUGGGGAGCAAACAGGAUUAGAUACCCUGGUAGUCCACGCCCUA
RNAcentral lists this ribosomal RNA (452 nucleotides) under uncultured marine bacterium. RNAcentral describes it as "bacterial SSU rRNA". It matches the Rfam family "Bacterial small subunit ribosomal RNA", at positions 360 to 804 of the family's 1533-position model. The record is from RNAcentral.